ACGGGGUGCAGCAGGCGCGAAAACUUCACAAUGGGAGAAAUCCCGAUGAGGGAAUUCCAAGUGCUAGCACUAUGUGUUAGCUGUUCUUUUGUCUAAAAAACAGAAGAAGUAAGGGCCGGGUAAGACGGGUGCCAGCCGCCGCGGUAAUACCCGCGGCCCGAGUGGUGGUCGAUAUUAUUGAGCCUAAAACGUCCGUAGCCGGUCUUGUAAAUCCUUGGGUAAAUCGGCCAGCUUAGCUGUCCGAAGUCCGGGGAGACUGCAAGACUUGGGAUCGGGAGAGGUCAGAGGUACUUCUGGGGUAGGGGUAAAAUCCUGUAAUCCUGGAAGGACCACCGGUGGCGAAGGCGUCUGACUAGAACGAAUUCGACGGUGAGGGACGAAGCCCUGGGGCGCAAACGGGAUUAGAUACCCCGGUAGUCCAGGGUGUAAACGCUGCGGGCUUGGUGUUGGGGGUCCUUUGUGGGCGCCCAGUGCCGGAGAGAAGUUGUUAAGCCUGCUGCUUGGGGAGUACGUCCGCAAGGAUGAAACUUAAAGGAAUUGGCGGGGGAGCAC
Molecule: ribosomal RNA, 552 nt
Filed under: uncultured archaeon
Lineage: Archaea
Description: bacterial SSU rRNA
Rfam family: Archaeal small subunit ribosomal RNA
Source: RNAcentral